RNAcentral lists this ribosomal RNA (543 nucleotides) under uncultured archaeon. RNAcentral describes it as "bacterial SSU rRNA". It matches the Rfam family "Archaeal small subunit ribosomal RNA", at positions 326 to 869 of the family's 1478-position model. The record is from RNAcentral.
CGGGGUGCAGCAGGCGCGAAAACUUUACAAUGCUGGAAACAGCGAUAGGGGGACUUUGAGUGCCAGGAUACAAUCUUGGCUGUCGUAAUGCCUAAAAAGCAUUGCAUAGCAAGGGCCGGGCAAGACCGGUGCCAGCCGCCGCGGUAACACCGGCGGCUCGAGUGGUAACCGCUAUUAUUGGGUCUAAAGGGUCUGUAGCCGGCUGGAUAAGUCUCUUGGGAAAUCCGACAGCUUAACUGUCGGGCUUUCAGGAGAUACUGUCCGGCUCGAGACCGGGAGAGGUGAGAGGUACUUCAUGGGUAGGGGUGAAAUCUUGUAAUCCUUGAAGGACCACCAGUGGCGAAGGCGUCUCACCAGAACGGAUCUGACGGCAAGGGACGAAAGCUAGGGGCACGAACCGGAUUAGAUACCCGGGUAGUCCUAGCCGUAAACGAUACUCGCUAGGUGUCAGCCACGGUGCGACCGUGGUUGGUGCCGUAGGGAAGCCGUGAAGCGAGCCACCUGGGAAGUACGGCCGCAAGGGUGAAACUUAAGGGAAUUGGC